Molecule: ribosomal RNA, 119 nt
Filed under: Castor canadensis (American beaver)
Lineage: Eukaryota; Metazoa; Chordata; Mammalia; Rodentia; Castoridae
Source: RNAcentral
GUUUAUGGCCAUAGUACCCUGAAAACUCCUGAUUUCAUCUGGUCUCAGAAGCUAAGCAGGGUUGAAUCUGGAUACUACUUGAAUUGGAGACUGCCUGAGAAUAUUGGCUGAUGUUGGCU